Eucalyptus grandis is the source of this 1401-nucleotide RNA transcript. It is a transcript of the gene named ABC transporter G family member 3-like, with no coding region annotated. The record is from RefSeq and is a predicted model, not a curated record. The transcript has 6 exons. Lineage: Eukaryota; Viridiplantae; Streptophyta; Magnoliopsida; Myrtales; Myrtaceae.
GGGAGCAUGGAGUUGAAAGAAAAGCACAGGAUAUGCAAGGUUGGUCCUAGGGGUGAGCGCGGUUCCCGGGAGAACCGGGAACUGGAGAACGGACUCACCCGGUUCCCUUUUUUCUGGGAACCGGGUUAAGGUUCCUAAAACCUAAAAAGUAGAAACCCACUUCUCAGUUCACACUUCAAUUGAAUCAAUUUGUUUACCCUUCUCCCGUUCUCUGCCCAACCCUCGUCCCUCCGCUGGUCGCUGCUCGUGUUGUCCCUCUGCUGGUCCGCUGCUCGUCCCGCCGCUGGAUGCCGCUUGCCCCCCGACAACGCCCUCAACGCCGCCGCCACCCUGUCCUUGCCUCCCUCAACACUGCUCGCACCCCGGUCGCCCCACCACUGGACGACGCCGGCCCCCCCAUUGGACUCCGCCCUUACCAACUUGGGAUUCUGCUCAAAUUGAUUGAACCCUGUCUCUUGUUAAUCGAUGUCAAUGUCAACGGGGGUUUCUCAACUGUUUUCACAUCCUUCCCAGUAGAAAGAAACCAUUACCGAUUCUCAACGAUGUCAGCAGAAUCAUCAAGCCUCGCAGGCUCUGGAAAGGCCACCUUACUUCUACCAUUAGCUGGGAAGCUCGGCAAAGAUUUGAAGUUUUCAGGAAGAGUCACGUACAACGGACACGGGAUGGAAGAGUUUGUACCGCAGAGGACAUCGGCUUAUAUAAGUCAAUAUGAUCUCCAUAUAGGAGAAAUGACUGUUAGGGAAAUUCUUGCUUUCUCAGCCAAGUGUCAAGGUGCUAGACCCUGUUAUGAAAAUUAUGAUAUCAGUGUAAUCUCUGCAUUAUAAGCACGGCUAGCAUUGGGGUGUGAGUGCUGUUGCAGUGAGAUACUUCUUUCCUGGCCUGAGCUCGAAUUUAUUGUCAUCUCAAUUGCAAGAUCUGUGACAAGAUAGGAUACCCAGAUCACAUAAUGAAUGGUGCAUACUGUAUUUGAAUGGAUUUGCAAGCCUUGGUUGCGAGAGAUUAGGCUUGGAGAGCAUAUAUCCACCAGUGAAUACAAACUACUACAAAAUGGGUUCAUCAGAAUAUGGUAGUAAUUACUCGUAUGAUCAUUCGUAUGAAGUGGAUGGUCAUGGACAAGCCUAUCAUGAGAUUAGAAGACCUAUGGUUAGCCCUUCAAUGACUAAUGAGCACUCCUGCAGUAAGAAGGGGAUGGGAGGGGAUUGCAAAUAGUGAAUCUCGUCACCACUCUGCAGCAUGGGAGUUCUAUGUUUUGCAGCAGUGCAUCAACCUUAUUGUUGAUAGUGUAAUUUUUUUUUUUUUGCAGGUACUAUUUCAGAUUUUAUUGUUUUAACCUCAUUAGAAGGUGAUUAAGCAUUGCGUAAUUCUCAUCAUAAGUCGCUGGCAUGGUUUUUCGUGGCAUAA